Molecule: ribosomal RNA, 357 nt
Filed under: uncultured bacterium
Lineage: Bacteria
Description: bacterial SSU rRNA
Rfam family: Bacterial small subunit ribosomal RNA
Source: RNAcentral
GGGCCCGCACAAGUAGUGGAGCAUGUGGUUUAAUUCGAAGAUACGCGCAGAACCUUACCAACACUUGACAUGUUCGUCGCGACUUUAAGAGAUUAAAGUUUUCGGUUCGGCCGGACGAAACACAGGUGCUGCAUGGCUGUCGUCAGCUCGUGUCGUGAGAUGUUGGGUUAAGUCCCGCAACGAGCGCAACCCUCACUUUUAGUUGCCAUCAUUAAGUUGGGCACUCUGAAAGAACUGCCAGUGAUAAGCUGGAGGAAGGUGGGGAUGACGUCAAGUCCUCAUGGCCCUUACGUGUUGGGCUACACACGUGCUACAAUGCUACGGACAAAGGGCAGCAAACUCGCGAGAGCUAGCAAA